Molecule: ribosomal RNA, 468 nt
Filed under: uncultured bacterium
Lineage: Bacteria
Description: bacterial SSU rRNA
Rfam family: Bacterial small subunit ribosomal RNA
Source: RNAcentral
ACGAACGUUGGCGGCGUGGAUUAGGCAUGCAAGUCGAACGAAGCCGGGGUAGCAAUAUCCCGGACUGAGUGGCGAAAGGGGCAGUAAGGCGUGGGUAACCUACCCCAGGGACUGGGAUAGCCGUCCUAACGGACGGGUAAUACCGGGCGACGUGGUUGGGGGGCAUCUCUUGACCACCAAAUGAGUUUCGCCCUGGGAGGGGCUCACGUGCUAUUAGCUUGUUGGCGGGGUGACGGCCCACCAAGGCAAAGAUGGCUAGCGGGUGUGAGAGCACGACCCGCGCCACUGGCACUGCGACACUGGCCAGACUCCUACGGGAGGCUGCAGUCGAGGAUCUUCGGCAAUGGGCGCAAGCCUGACCGAGCGACGCCGCGUGCGCGAUGAAGGCCUUCGGGUUGUAAAGCGCUGUCGAGGGGGAGGAAGCCGCAAGGUUGACCUAUCCCUGGAGGAAGCACGGGCUAAGUUCGU